CGGUAAGAUGUUCUGAUAUAUGUGAUAGUUUUGACAGUAUCAAUUGAUUUCACAGGUCAUUGCAAAAGCUGUUGAAGUUGGGGCAGAUAGUAGUCAAUUUCCUAGUAGUUGGAUUUUCCAUUCCCGCGAAAAGAAACCUGGCAAGGCUUUUGUUGAUGGGAAGACAAUUGAGUUUAUUGCUGCUGGUGGCAGGACAACGGCAUAUGUACCAGAGUUACAAAAGCUGAGUGGAUCUCAAGUUGCAAAAGCACAAAUUAAACCGAGAAAGCAAACUGUUAAGAAGGGAAGCAAAGAUGUGGACAUGGAUGGUGAUCUUAGUGCACCAGGAAGUGAGGAUGAGGAAAAUGCUAAAAGUGCAAAAUCAAAGGGAGGGAGGACCAUGAGUGGACGUAAGAAA
This is a non-coding RNA of Camellia sinensis, 397 nucleotides long. The record is from RefSeq and is a predicted model, not a curated record. Lineage: Eukaryota; Viridiplantae; Streptophyta; Magnoliopsida; Ericales; Theaceae.